GGGAGGUUUGGCACCUCGAUGUCGGUUCGUCACAUCCUGGGGCUGGAGAAGGUCCCAAGGGUUCGGCUGUUCGCCGAUUAAAGUGGCACGUGAACUGGGUUCAGAACGUCGCAAGACAGUUCGGUCCCUAUCUGUGGUGGGCGCAAGUAAAUUGAGAGGACAUGACCUUAGUACGAGAGGACCGGGUCGUACGUACCGCUGGUGUAUCAGUUGUGCCGCCAGGUGCAAUGCUGAGUAGCUAUGUACGGACAGGAUAAACGCUGAAAGCAUCUAAGCGUGAAACCUUCCUCAAGAUGAGUUUACUUUUAAGGGCCGUCAAAGACUAUGACGUCGAUAGGCUACAGGUGUAAAGGUGGUGACACCAAAGCCGAGUAGUACUAAUUGCCCGUAAGCUUUAAUUUUUU
This 404-nucleotide ribosomal RNA is filed under the name Bacteroidota bacterium. RNAcentral's name for it is "Bacteroidetes bacterium partial 23S ribosomal RNA". It matches the Rfam family "Bacterial large subunit ribosomal RNA", at positions 2511 to 2925 of the family's 2925-position model. Lineage: Bacteria; Pseudomonadati; Bacteroidota. The record is from RNAcentral.